RNAcentral lists this ribosomal RNA (484 nucleotides) under uncultured bacterium. Its description in RNAcentral is "partial 16S ribosomal RNA". It matches the Rfam family "Bacterial small subunit ribosomal RNA", at positions 29 to 507 of the family's 1533-position model. The record is from RNAcentral.
AUUGAACGCUGGCGGCAUGCUUUACACAUGCAAGUCGAACGGCAGCGCGGGCUUCGGCCUGGCGGCGAGUGGCGAACGGGUGAGUAAUACAUCGGAACGUGCCCAGUAGUGGGGGAUAGCUCGGCGAAAGCCGGAUUAAUACCGCAUAAGACCUGAGGGUGAAAGCGGGGGAUCUUCGGACCUCGCGCUAUUGGAGCGGCCGAUGGCAGAUUAGCUAGUUGGUGGGGUAAAGGCCUACCAAGGCGACGAUCUGUAGCUGGUCUGAGAGGACGACCAGCCACACUGGGACUGAGACACGGCCCAGACUCCUACGGGAGGCAGCAGUGGGGAAUUUUGGACAAUGGGCGAAAGCCUGAUCCAGCAAUGCCGCGUGUGUGAUGAAGGCCUUCGGGUUGUAAAGCACUUUUGGCGGGAACGAAAAGGACUGUGCCAAUACCACGGUUCGAUGACGGUACCCGCAGAAUAAGCACCGGCUAACUACGUG